GAUGAACGCUGGCGGCGUGCCUAAUACAUGCAAGUCGAGCGAAUGGAUUAAGAGCUUGCUCUUAUGAAGUUAGCGGCGGACGGGUGAGUAACACGUGGGUAACCUGCCCAUAAGACUAGGAUAACUCCGGGAAACCGGGGCGAAUACCGGAUAACAUUUUGAACCGCAUGGUUCGAAAUUGAAAGGCGGCUUCGGCUGUCUCUUAUUGAUGGACCCGCGUCGCAUUAGCUAGUUGGUGAGGUAACGGCUCACCAAGGCAACGAUGCGUAGCCGACCUGAGAGGGUUAUCGGACACACUGGGACUGAGACACGGCCCAGACUCCUACGGGAGGCAGCAGUAGGGAAUCUUCCGCAAUGGACGAAAGUCUGACGGAGCAACGCCGCGUGAGUGAUGAAGGCUUUCGGGUCGUAAAACUCUGUUGUUAGGGAAGAACAAGUGCUAGUUGAAUAAGCUGGCACCUUGACGGUACCUAACCAGAAAGCCACGGCUAACUACGUGCCAGCCGCCGCAGUAA
This 515-nucleotide ribosomal RNA is filed under the name uncultured bacterium. RNAcentral describes it as "partial 16S ribosomal RNA". It matches the Rfam family "Bacterial small subunit ribosomal RNA", at positions 28 to 523 of the family's 1533-position model. The record is from RNAcentral.